GACGAACGCUGGCGGCGUGCUUAACACAUGCAAGUCGAGCGGUAAGGCCUUUCGGGGUACACGAGCGGCGAACGGGUGAGUAACACGUGGGUCAUCUGCCCUGCACUCUGGGAUAAGCCUGGGAAACUGGGUCUAAUACUGGAUAUGACCUCAGCAUGCAUGUGCUGGGGUGGAAAGCUUUUGUGGUGCAGGAUGGGCCCGCGGCCUAUCAGCUUGUUGGUGGGGUAAUGGCCUACCAAGGCGACGACGGGUAGCCGACCUGAGAGGGUGACCGGCCACACUGGGACUGAGACACGGCCCAGACUCCUACGGGAGGCAGCAGUGGGGAAUAUUGCACAAUGGGCGGAAGCCUGAUGCAGCGACGCCGCGUGAGGGAUGAAGGCCUUCGGGUUGUAAACCUCUUUCAGCAGGGACGAAGCGUGAGUGACGGUACCUGCAGAAGAAGCACCGGCUAACUACGUGCCAGCCGCCGCAGUAA
RNAcentral lists this ribosomal RNA (478 nucleotides) under uncultured bacterium. Its description in RNAcentral is "partial 16S ribosomal RNA". It matches the Rfam family "Bacterial small subunit ribosomal RNA", at positions 28 to 523 of the family's 1533-position model. The record is from RNAcentral.